ACCCUUCGGGAAAGAUAGUCAAUGUCUUGACCCGAAUAUCCAAGCGACAGCUAUAUUCUCUUAAUGCCAGUCCAUUGCCAGACCUCGAAGACGUUCCGGUCUUCCGUGACUUUCCGGAUGUCUUUCCAGAAGAAUUGCCAGGUGUCCCACCUGACAGAGAUGUCGAGUUCGUGAUAGAUCUCAUUCCAGGAACUGUCCCAAUUUCUAGAAGACCCUAUAAGAUGGCACCCCUAGAACAAGCCGAACUUAAGAAACAACUCGAUGAGUCCUUGAAAAAUGGUUUCAUCCGUCCUAGUUCAUCUCCAUGGGCUUGCCCCGUCCUCUUCGUCAAGAAGAAGGAUGGUACGGACCGGAUGGUUGUAGAUUAUCAACCUGUCAACCUGGUCACAAUUAAGAACAAGUAUCCGCUCCCCAGGAUCAACGAUCUGUACGAUCAGCUCACGGGAUCCUCAGUCUUCUCUAAGAUGGAUUUGAGGUUAGGCUACCAUCAAAUCAAAAUCCGGAACGGGGACAUUCCUAAAACGGCUUUUGUUACUCGUUACAGCCAAUACGAGUACACCGUCAUGUCCUUCGGUUUAACCAACGCUCCAGCCACCUUUUCCCGGUUAAUGAACUCAAUUUUCAUGGAGUAUUUGGAUAAAUUCGUCGUGGUUUACCUCGAUGACAUACUCAUCUACUCCAAGAACGAGGAAGAACAUGCCGAACAUCUAAGGCUAGUGUUGAUGAAACUUCAAGAGCAUCGCCUUUAUGCCAAGUUUUCUAAAUGCGAAUUUUGGUUGCCAGAAGUGACCUAUCUAGGACAUGUAAUUUCUGGUAAAGGUAUUGCUAUCAACCCCGAGCGAGUUCAAGCCGUCCUUAAUUGGACUCCACCUGAAUCGCUCAAGCAAGUUCGGAGUUUCCUUGGCUUAGCGAGCUAUUGUCGCCGCUUUGUCGAGAACUUCUCCAAAGUUGCUAAACCUCUAACUGAACUCCUCAAGAAAGAUAAAAAGUUCGAGUGGACUCCACAAUGUGAGCACAGUUUCCAGGAACUGAAAAGACGUUUAACUUCUGCUCCCGUACUGGUACCACCAGAUUUCUCUAAAGACUUUGUUAUCUAUUGCGACGCCUCGUGACAAGGACUAGGCUGUAUUCUCAUGCAAGAUCGACACGUAAUUGCUUAUGCUUCACGGCAAUUACACCCACAUGAGGAAAACUACCCUACUCAUGAUCUAGAGCUUGUAGCUGUAGUCCAUGCACUAAAAACCUGGCGACAUUACCUCCUCGGUAAUCGUUGCGAAAUCUUCACUGAUCACCAAAGUCUGAAGUACAUAUUCACCCAACCAGAUUUGAAUCUCAGGCAAAGACGUUGGGUCGAGUUGAUCACAGAUUUCGACUUAGGGAUAACUUAUACCCCAGGAAAAGCCAACAUCAUGGGUGAUGCGCUAAGUCGUAAAUCUUAUUGCAACAACCUGAUGUUGCAACAAAGCCAACCACUUCUCCACGAGGAAUUUCGGAAGCUCAAUCUUCACAUCGUUCCUCAAGGAUUUCUUUCCACCUUGGUGGCGAAACCUACUCUUACAGAUCAAAUCAUCGCUGCCCAAAAACGAGAUAAAGGAAUAUCUCGAAUCAAGGAGAACAUUGCUAGCGGAGAUGCUAAAUGUUUCUCUACAAAUGAUCGUGGUGUUGUAUAUUUUGAGAACCGUCUAGUGGUUCCCAAGAAUCAACACUUACGGCAGUUGAUCCUUAAGGAGGCUCAUGAAUCUCCUCUCACCAUUCAUCCCGGUAGCACUAAAAUGUAUCAGGACCUACGCCAGAGGUUCUGGUGGACUAGGAUGAAGAGAGACAUUGCUCAAUUUGUUGCCAAUUGCGACGUCUGUCGUCGUGUAAAAGCAGAGCAUCAACGGCCUGCUGGCACCCUUCAACCCUUAGCUAUUCCUGAGUGGAAAUGGGAUAAAAUUGGUAUGGAUUUCAUCACCGGUUUUCCCAGGACCAAGAGAGGGAAUAAUGCUAUCUUCGUCGUUAUCGACCGCCUCUCCAAAGUAGCCCAUUUCUUACCUGUUCGCGAGAGUAUGACCGCUAGCCAGUUAGCAGACUUGUACAUCUCCCGAAUAGUGUCUCUACAUGGUGUUCCAUUGGAAAUUAACUCGGAUCGAGGAAGUCUCUUCACCUCUCGAUUUUGGGAAAGUUUCCAAAACGCUAUGGGAACCCAUCUUUCCUUUAGCACUGCCUUUCACCCUCAAUCAAGUGGUCAAGUAGAACGUGUCAACCAAAUCCUAGAAGACAUGCUUCGAGCUUCUGUUAUCUCAUUCGGAAUGGAUUGGGAGAAAUGCCUUCCAUUUGCCGAAUUUGCUUAUAACAACAGUUAUCAAUCUAGCUUGGGUAAAGCCCCUUUUGAAGUUCUCUAUGGACGAAGGUGUCGAACGCCUCUUAACUGGUCAGAAACUGGGGAAAGACAAUUCUUUGGCCCGGAUAUGAUCCAGGAAGCAGAAGAGCAAGUUCGCAUCGUUCGUGAAAAGUUGAAAACAGCCCAAUCUCGUCAAAACAGUCAAUAUGACCGAAAACAUAAGGCUAUGACUUACGAGGUUGACGAGAAGGCUUAUCUUCGGGUUACUCCUUUGAAGGGAACCCAUCGUUUCGGUAUCAAAGGCAAGUUGGCUCCUUGCUAUAUUGGACCCUUUCGCAUUCUUGCCAAACGAGGAGAAGUUGCCUACCAAUUGGAACUACCUCCGCAUCUUUCCAAAGUCCACGAUGUCUUCCACAUUUCCCAACUCAGGCGUUGCUUCUCGGAUCCUAUCCAUGGAGUGGACCACGAAACGCUUGAUCUUCAAGACAAUAUCACAUAUCGAGAGUACCCCGUUCGUAUCCUCGAUCAAGCCGAGCGUACCACUCGACGGCAUAAUAUCAAGUUUCUCAAGGUUCAAUGGUUGCACCAUUCUGAGAAGGAAGCUACUUGGGAAAGGGAGGAUCGUCUUCGACUUGAAUAUCCCACCUUCUUUCCGGAGGAACCUAAAUCUCGGGACGAGAUUCUUUUGAGUGGGGGUGAGUUGUCACACCCUAGUUAGUUCAUGCAUUAGAGUGUUGCAUCAUGUCUAUUUCAUUUAAUAGAAACCUGAAAUGGGGAUGAUAGAACCCCCAGCCCCCUCUGAAUCAAACUAGGGUUUACUAAAAAUAUUUUCAAUGAACCUGAAAUGCCCUUCUAAAAUGUCCAUCAUUUUUGUCUUGGCUCAGAACCUCUGCCAAAAGUGAUGCACAGUUUCCUAGGUCAUCUUAAGGUCCUUGAAUUAAAUCAUAAGUAUUUGAAUUUGGGCAUUUAAAAUUUAUAAAAAUAUUGCAAAUGCUCAAAUAUUCCCAAACUAAAAUGUUCCAUGUUGGAAAUAUUCCAACUAAGGACCAGGUGCAGUUUGGUGAAUUUUGGAAUGGCAUAGGUAUUUUUAGAAAUUCAACAAACUUACAGAAUAAAAACAGAAACAGAAAUAAAGGAAAAACAUACCUGUCGCCACCCAGAGGCCCACCUGCUGGCCCAGCCCAGCCACCGCUCCAGCGAGCUGCUUGGCUCGCCAGGCAGGCAGGCAGGUGCUCGACGGCGGCACCGCAGCACGCCACGCAGCAGCUUGCCGCCCUGCUUCCUCCUCUCGCCGCCUAGCUGGCCUGGACGAGCUCCACGUCGCGCCCCGAACCCCGUGGACACUUCCAUUCGCCCCCAGCUCCUCUCCCUCGCGCUCCCCAGCCAUGGCCGACGCCACCGUUGCCGCACCGCCGCCGUAGUCGUGCUCCCCGUCGUCUCCACGCCACGCCACCGUGUCCAGAAGCUUCGCCGCCCUCUACUCCUUCGAGCUAGCCGAGCCCCGAGCGCUCGCGUGCCCCGAAGCCGCUGCACCGACCUCGACCGAACCGCCAUCGCCAGAAAUCCCCUUCGCCGUCGCCGCCGUACCAGCUCGUCCCCGACCGCGCCGUCUAUUCCCUCAAGACCGCCGUGAGCUUAGCUAACUCCCCCUCCUUCUCUUUCUCGCUCUCGUGCACCACAGCGAGCACACGUAGCUCACCCGCACGCGCCGCCGCGGAGCUCGUCGCCGACGUGCCUCCGGCUAACCACUGGCCACCUCACCUUGUCUAACAUACUCACCGCGACCCCAGGGGCUCAACACACCACACCACGGGCCUCGCCGUGCCCCGUAGCGUGGGAUCCAUCUUCACCCGACUUCGGCGACCGCCAAAGUCGUCGCCGGCGACGUCUCCGGCCACCCCGAGCUUAACCACCACCACCAAUAGCCGCGGCUCGAUCUCAGCUACGCAUAGAUGGCUCCCGCCGCCCGUUUGGUCGUCGGAAUGCACAAAACCACUUCCACCGCCGCGUCUGGCCUCGCCGGCGGCUAGACGCCGGCGUGUUUGACUUUGACCUUGACCAGGGUGGGCCCAGGUUGACUCCCCUGAGUCUAUGACAUGUGGGGCCCCUCUGCUAAUUAACCCAGUUUGGUUUAAACUUAAUUUAGUUAGUUUAAUUAUCUACUGACAUGCGGGACCCACUGGUCAGUUUGACCUGGACCAGCCCGUUGACCACUGACGUCAUCCUGACGUAAUGCUGACGCAGUAAUUUAUUUACUGGAAUUACUUUUACACAGGAAAUUCCAGAAAAUGCUACAAAUUUUAAAAAAUCCUAGAAAUUAAUCUGUAACUCCAAAUGAAACAAAUUAUAUAUGAAAAAUGAUUAGAAAAAUCCAAUCUAUCCAUCUGUACUGGUUUCAUGCAUGUUUAAACAAGCUAACCUGUUGUUUAUCACAGAACAAUAUAAAACACUUUAAAUGGCAACUUAUGAGUUUGAACUUUGAAUCUUUGGUUCAAAUUAGUUCAAACCCAUCUGUUCUUAGUUGCAUUAGCCCAAUACACUCAUUUUGCCAUGUCUCAUGCAUGCAUCAUAUUAUUGCAUACUGUUUGGUAAUGUUUGUGUAUCGGUGCUCUCUGCGGCAGGUUCUGCCCCCGAGGAGUACCGUGAUAACCCCAACGAAGAGCAAUACCAGUGCACCGACCCAUCAGGCAAGCAACCAACCAUUUGAUCAUAUCGAUAAAAUCCCAUGUUCUUGCUCCUGCUCUCUUUUACUGCAUUAAGACAACGCGAUUCAAACUGCUGUGUGCUGCGGUAGUUGAACCCAUUUCCUCUGCAUGACCUGUCAUUGCCACAGUAACUAGAUGAAACCCACUAGCAUGUGUAGGAGUUGAGUGAGCCAUAUGAUUGUGUUGUUCCUACCUUGCUAUGCCUGCUAUGCUAGAGUCGUGUCAUGUCUGGUUCAUCUGGGUGAUGGGCUAGAGUGAAAUGAUCGUGUCAGUAUGAGAAUAAGGUGUUGAACACGAUUUGGUAAAGGUAUCGAUGAGAGGCCAUGUAGGAGUACAUGGUGGGUUGUUUCAUUGAGGCCGUCCUUAAGCACUGAGAUCUGUAUGUGUGAUUUAAGAAUCAGCUACUACCAUACAUUGGGCCCUGAAAUAUGACCCCGCUCGACUUCUUAUUCACCCUAGUCCUCUGUCCAGGAGUUGCAAGUAGUUUCUGGUGUUUGUAGCCUACUGGAGGCCGUGGACAGCGCUGACCGUAGGGGUGGGCUGUGAUGCGGUAGGUACGUGGCACGGUGUACCGGAUGCCCGUUUGGUGUCUCGGGAACCCUGCUCACAUCGUUUGGGGCUGUGAGCGAAACUUCGGCCGGAUCUCCUCAUGGAUGGAACCCAAAUAGGCGAUAAACCUGGACUAGAGACUUGAGUGUCUAGGUUGGUCAUGGUCUACACCCACGUCGGCUUUCGCUUGAAGUCUGCCGAGCACAUGUCGUGUGCAGACGCUAAGUGGUGGAAACAUGUAUGAAGAAGUACACCCCUGCAGGGUUAACAUCAUCUAUUCGAAUAGCCGCGUCCGCGGUAAAGGACUGCUUGGUUGCCUAUACAGUUCAUAGACAAGUAAAUGGAAACUACUAAAAGCCUCAAGAUAAGCGUGAGUGCCGAGGAUGGCUCUUCCGUAGGAAGACGGAGGUGGAUCCUCGGUAGUGUAUUGAAGUGGUGAGUAGUGGACUCGAGUGCACAAAACUAUUUCAAGUUGGAGUCUCGUAGGAUAGCUUAGCCAAGAGUCAAAGCUGGCUUGCUGCAGUAACCCCACCAACCCUUCUUGAUAAUAUGCAUGUAUGUAGGAUCUGAUGUAAGUCUUGCUGAGUACCUUUGUACUCAUGUUGCUUUAAUUUACAUUUUUCAGAAGAUGCCACAACCCUUUCCGACGGGUUCUUCGUAGACGUUGACAUCGAUGAGUAGACUAAGGCCCAGGUGGUGAUCCUGAGCAAGUGAAGGACCAUGUAGUAUAGCUAGGCUUACCCAAGCCUCUUUUAUUUUACUAGUUGUCUGUACUCAGACAAAACACUUCCGCUGUUGGCUUGUAUGCUUGUAUGACUUGAAUGUGGGUCGUGUGACCCGUACUUGUGUGUAUGCUAUGUAUGGCUCUCUGAGCUUUUAAAUAAAGUACUUGUGUCAUAGAGUCAUGUUGUGAUGCCUUGUUGUCUUUGCACAUAUCGAGCAUAUUGUGUGUAUGAUUGAAAUGCUUGGUAUGUGUGGGAUCUGACUAUCUAGUUGUUUAUCUUUAUUAGCCUCUCUUACCGGGAAAUGUCUCCUAGUGAUUCCACUGAGCCAUGGUAGCUUGCUACUGCUCCGGAACACUUAGGCUGGCCGGCAUGUGUCCUUCUUCGUUCCUGUGUCUGUCCCUUCGGGGAAAUGUCACGCAUUGAGUACCGGAGUCCUGUUAGCCCGCUACAGCCCGGUUUACCGGAGUCCUGCUAGCCCAGUUCUACAGCCCGGAACUUACUUGCUGAUGACCGACACGUUCGAUGCUGGGUCAUGGAUGCCUGUCCCUGUAAGUCUGCGCCACUUUGGGUUUACAACUAGCCAUGUCAGCUCGGACUCCUUUUCAUAUGGAUGCUAGCGACACUAUCAUAUACGCGUGCCAAAAGGCGCAAACGGUCCUGGGAAAAGGUAAGGCGACACCCGUGGGGAUACCGUGCGUGAGGCCGCAAAGUGAUAUGAGGUGUUACAGGCUAGAUCGAUGUGACAUUGAGUUGGGGUCCUGACAGCGUUGGCAUCAGAGCCGGACUGCCUGUAGGUUCUCCAAGCCAAACUCGUCGAUGUUGAGUCUAGAAAUGCUUUAGUUAUAUGUAGGGGAAUUGAUUGUGGGAUGGUAUGUAAGGCUCUUUUUACUCCUUUACCUCAUGGCAUUCUGAUCUGAGUCAGUCCAUUCUUCCACCGGGGGUCAGGGAUUAGGAUCUCCUCUCUCUAUCAGGUUCACGUGUUACUAAUCAGUAGUACCUUAUAGGUUGAUGAUUACAAGCCUAGUUCAGUUCUACUAUCCUAUUAUGUUACUAAGUUGGACCAGAACCUUGAUAUGAUAUUGUUGAGUGUCUAUGCCAUUCCUUGUAAAAUGUCUCAAAUCCUUUUGAGCAUUUACAGCCGUUAUGCUGUCCAAGUUCUGCUAGAAAUUCUAAUGCCUUUGCAUUGUGGUGAUGCUUUCAGAUGGCCACUCGUGACCAAAACCAAGUGGUUCGCCUGACUAGAUGCAUCGGUGUGACCGGUCAUACGGCUAUGUUAGUCCGGGUAAUGAUCGAGACGGGUUACCGCUGGUAUCCCGAAUACACAGUCGAAGAGCAGUUCCGAGAUUUUAAUCAAAACCAGUAUCUCUGCACUGUCAGGAUAUUUCCCUCUUAUCCUGGUUCCACCGAGGCCCUUCACUGUUCCUAUGGACUUGGUGUUACUAUUGAUAUGGCAGUACAAGAUGCUGCCUACUCCAUGAUGACCAUCAUGCGAGUCAGGACUGGCCUGCUUCGCAACACCGACUUCCGAUAUAUGCCAGGUUCACUUCCUGGAGCGCAUGGGUAUCUCCGGGCUAUCUAUGCUGAUUCCAGUCAGGAGGACUCACUAACCCGCACCACUUUCGAGUUGCUCGAGGAUAAGGAUCGAGAGAGUCGGGCCUUGAGAAUGGAGCUUUUCAAUGCCCGUGCCGAUCACUGGGCCACUUUGACUCGGUUUGCACCGGCUGUGCAGGCUGGAUAUAUGGAUAUGAGAGACCUGUAUCCUGUUAGAUCUGCUCUGCCAGACAUGAUGGAUUGGCGUGAUGUGGGGGGCAUCACCCCACCUCAUGGUCCCCGCAGGCCACCAUUUGUUGGUCCAAGACCUCACCCUUGCCCUUAUGGUCCACAGGCUCCUCAGGACCGUCUGUUUCUGGACGCUCACGUUGAACUUCCAGGUUAUGGAGGAGACUUCUAUGAGAACUACUACGGAGACGUCUGAGUUAGUAGUAGUUCCACUAGUAUUGUAAUGGUUGUAUUUCCACCGUCCUGCGAGGCUUGUGGAAUAUGACUUAGUGUGUAUCAUUCCGGAGGUAUAAGAAAAAUAAUGUAUAGGAGCUUGGUAUGCCUUCGAUGAGAUGUAAUCUUCCUUUCACCGUAGUAGUACUUUGUUUGGUCUUGUACUAAACCUUGUAUUGUGUGUAUGACGAUGGAAUAAAGAAGCAGUUUCUGUAUCUACCAUGUCAUACGGAUGAUCAUCUUGCAUUCCGAGUUAUCCAGUACAUUCUACAUUUCUAUGUUAGAAUCUUAUCAUCCUGGACUAAACCUUUGUCUUGUUUUUCCUAGGAUGGUUAACACCCGCAACAACCCUGCUCCGCCAGAGCAGGCCGAAGGCAGCAGAGUUGGAGAAGAGAACCUGCCUCACCCUCCUUCUCUGGCCAAAGUUACGUUGGAGGCCGAGAGAAACAAACGGGAGACCAACCGUUUGUUGGAGCGCAUCGAACAGAACACAGCACAUCAUCAGAGGAAUAACUUGGUGUCGCUCAGUGACUUCAUCAAGUUACACCCACCUACCUUCCACCACUCCGUCGAGCCUCUCGACGCUGAUGACUGGCUUCGCAGCAUUACUCACAAGCUGCGUUCUGCACUUGUAGCUGAGGCUGAUAAGGUCACCUUUGCUGCAUAUCAUCUUGAAGGCCCCGCCAGUCUCUGGUGGGAGAACUAUAUGGCUAUGCGCCCAGCGGGCCAUGUCACUACUUGGGCAGAGUUUAGUGAGGCUUUCCGUGAACAUCACAUUCCGGAGGGUCUCAUGGAUCGUAAACGUGAGGAGUUCUGCAGUUUCACCCAAGGUCGUCUCUCUGUGGACGCUUACAGCAGGGAGUUCGGUAAUCUCGCAUGCUAUGCCACUGAAGAGGUCUCCACUGACGCCAAGAAACAGGCAAGGUUUCGCAAGGGACUUACCCCCGAACUUCGCCGAGAUCUCCGUCUGCAUGAGUGCACCUCUUUUCAGAAACUUGUGAACAAAGCCAUCAGUGCUGAGACGGGUCAGACUGAUUUCGAAGCAACACGCAAGCAUGGUCGUGACAUGGGUUCCUCAUCCGGUGCUGGACCACAGAAGCGCCGGGUGUGGGUGCCUAACACUGCCCUGCCACCCAGAUUCACAUCGAGGCCAUCCUAUCAGGCGCCUCGUCCAGUUCAGCAGUAUGCACUAGCUAAGCCCUAUAGUGGGCCAACCAACAAUGCUCCUCCACACACCAGCCCCGUGACGUGCUUCAAGUGUGGGGAAUCAGGCCACUACAUGCGCGAUUGUCCCCAGACCAGCCCCAACCAGACUGGAAAAGAUGUUGGCCGUGGCAAGCCAGCAGGGAAGGUGUUCUAUGCCAAGCCGGCCACCACUGCACGUGGCCAUGUGAAUUGUGUCUUAGCUGAAGAGGCCCAAGAGGAUCCCAACGUCGUUCUCGGUACGCUCCUUGUUAAUUGCCACCCGGCAUCUGUUCUUUUCGAUACUGGAGCAUCUCAUUCAUUCAUAUCCGAGAAUUAUGCACGCUUGCAUAACAUCGCAUUCUGUGACAUACCUUCCUCCAUGGAAAUCUCUACUCCGGGUUCUAGAUGGCAAACUUCUAGUGUAAGCCAUGAUAAUGAAAUUCAGGUCGACAGGCUUGUUUUCCUUGCAUCAUUGAUAGCUCUUAAAUCAUCGGAUAUUAACAUCGUCUUGGGUAUGGACUGGAUGUCAGCCCAUCAUGCCAAGAUUGAUUGCUUCUCUAGGACUGUUCAACUCACGCACCCUUCAGGAAAGAUAGUCAAUGUCUUGACCCGAAUAUCCAAGCGACAGCUAUACUCUCUUAAUGCCAGUCCAUUGCCAGACCUCGAAGACGUUCCGGUAGUCCGUGACUUUCCGGAUGUCUUUCCAGAAGAAUUGCCAGGUGUCCCACCUGACAGAGAUGUCGAGUUCGUGAUAGAUCUCAUUCCAGGAACUGUCCCAAUUUCUAGAAGACCCUAUAAGAUGGCACCCCUAGAACUAGCCGAACUUAAGAAACAACUCGAUGAGUCCUUGAAAAAGGGUUUCAUCCGUCCUAGUUCAUCUUCAUGGGCUUGCCCCGUCCUCUUCGUCAAGAAGAA
This 10394-nucleotide long non-coding RNA is filed under the name Triticum aestivum (bread wheat). RNAcentral's name for it is "long non-coding RNA (TAES_LNC027007)". The record is from RNAcentral. Lineage: Eukaryota; Viridiplantae; Streptophyta; Magnoliopsida; Poales; Poaceae.